AUCCUCAAAUUCCCCCCUAAAAAAACCUUUUCUCGAAGUUAAAGCACUGGUGCCUCUUCGUCUCUAUCAUCUCCGUCAAUCCUCUUCUCAAAACAAAAAAUCUCCGUCAAUCCUAGCCUGCUCAUGACCACAUCCACAUACACCAGUGCCUUAAAUAAGGAUCCGCCGAAGGAAGAUUUCACUGCUGGCUUAUGCGAAACUAAUUCCCGACCUAUCCAGGCGCUACUUCUUGUCUCUUAUCUUCAAUUUUUUUGUUUUGGCGCUGUCCUCAAACCCUAGCUCUGCUGAUCUUAGGUUGGGCAUAAAGCUGCGACGAACCCGUGUGUGUAGGUCUCAGCUCAUUGGCGCGAGUUCUCGCCUUCCUCAUUUCUGGUGCGGUCGGCCCUCCGCCAAUAAUGAAGUAGAGAUGCCGAAGCAGAUUUUGAAGAAAUAGUAAUACAGGAUAUGUGUCUGCUGGCUGAGCCCAGUUGUGGGCCUCCUGGUUGUUUAUGAUGUCGGGUUUCCACCUACGUAAUUUGCUACAGCUUCACAUCAUUCCUACUUCCUCCAUAGCAGGUGAUUCUUCACAUGUAUUAACAUCAUUUUUGUCGUAAAAAAGUGGCGAUUUCAUAUCUUAUAAGAAGUCUCAUGCAUUACCUCACUUGCCUAGUUUUUGCGCCUCAUUUCAAAUAACAAUUACAAACCUUGAUGCUCCAAAUGAGAGGCCACUCGAAAGAUAGAUUUGAUCUAGAAUAGAAGUUAUGAAACCUUGAUGAUCUAGAUGAGAGGCCACUCGAAAGAUAGAUUUGAUCUGGCAUAGAAGUUAUGAACCUUGAUGAUUCAGGUGAGAGGCCACUCAGAAGGUUGCUUGGUGUGACUUCGUCCGACGGCGCGACGUUGCGUAGUUCAAUUAGAAGACUUUGAUGUUGUUGGUAGUGUGCUGGUUAGGUAGCAGAUUUGGCUUACUUUGAUUUUUAGGUGUGUGCUGUGAGCGGUCGGCCGUAUGUCUUCUUAUGUGUUAUGGUUGACUUGGCAAGUAUUACGUGUUGAGUAAUUUUGGUUGAGUCCGUGUGGAGUUCUGUAUGUAGUCCAUGUAUGUGUCUUAUUUGUAUCUGCGUGUUCACGUUUGACUCUUUGUUUUUGACGCUGUGUUCACGUUUGGAAUUGGAUGCACGUGAGCUUCCGUAUCUUCAA
This is a long non-coding RNA of Aegilops tauschii subsp. strangulata, 1173 nucleotides long. RefSeq lists it as uncharacterized. Lineage: Eukaryota; Viridiplantae; Streptophyta; Magnoliopsida; Poales; Poaceae. The record is from RefSeq and is a predicted model, not a curated record.